This is a regulatory RNA element of Mucilaginibacter pedocola, 36 nucleotides long. It matches the Rfam family "DUF805b RNA". Rfam says of the family: Bacteroidetes, Chlorobi (1 example), Proteobacteria. Lineage (Flavobacteria) Lineage: Bacteria; Pseudomonadati; Bacteroidota; Sphingobacteriia; Sphingobacteriales; Sphingobacteriaceae. The record is from Rfam.
ACGGCGAAACGCUGAAAAGCCAAAACAGAGUAAGCA